Molecule: ribosomal RNA, 305 nt
Filed under: uncultured bacterium
Lineage: Bacteria
Description: partial 16S ribosomal RNA
Rfam family: Bacterial small subunit ribosomal RNA
Source: RNAcentral
ACAGCAGUCGCCGCGGUAAUACAGAGGGUGCGAGCGUUAAUCGGAUUUACUGGGCGUAAAGCGUGCGUAGGCGGCUAAUUGAGUCGGAUGUGAAAUCCCCGAGCUUAACUUGGGAAUUGCAUUCGAUACUGGUUAGCUAGAGUGUGGGAGAGGAUGGUAGAAUUCCAGGUGUAGCGGUGAAAUGCGUAGAGAUCUGGAGGAAUACCGAUGGCGAAGGCAGCCAUCUGGCCUAACACUGACGCUGAGGUACGAAAGCAUGGGGAGCAAACAGGAUUAGAUACCCCAGUAGUCCCUGUCUCUUAUAA